This is a long non-coding RNA of Symsagittifera roscoffensis, 2208 nucleotides long. RefSeq lists it as uncharacterized. The transcript is spliced from 2 exons. The record is from RefSeq and is a predicted model, not a curated record. Lineage: Eukaryota; Metazoa; Xenacoelomorpha; Acoela; Convolutidae.
UCGAAUUUUUAGCCAGCAUACGCUGCUUACGUCAUCUUUUAUGCAUAUCUAAAUACAAAUCAGCAAACAAACACGCCUAUUUUUAAAAUAUCUGAUUACGUUCAUAUUGAAAACAAAUCCAUCACUGAUUAUUUUUCUUCUGAAAAUUAGAUCGAUAAAGCAUUGCAUAGUUGUAAUGAUUUUUACAUCAACUCAACUAGAAAUGUAAUCGAUAUUUGCUCCCUAAAUCGGUCGAUAGUCGAUUUAAUGGUGACACCCAUUUUUUGUGCACCCAACGCAAUUUCAGCCCUGUUUUGCUUUCGGUGGAGAGUACUUUAUAUCCUUUUCUGUUUUCCACUGGGUAUGAAUGAUGUUAAAUAUAACGUAGUUAUAUAGUUACCAUAUGCGCUUAGAGCUACUACCAUAUUUUUCCAUUUCAGUUCCCGCAUAAAGCGAAAGCACCAUUGGCGAUUUUAUCUCCGUUAUUGUUUAGUAGCAGCUGUUUCAAUAAUGGCCCAAUUCAUCUACAAAAGACUUUACAUAUUUACUUUUGGCAACGCAAAAUGGGGUUACAGUUCGGCCGUUGUUAGUUUUAGUGGCUUUUAACUAAUCUCAAUUGCUUUGUGCCGUGAUUACACUUCCCGUAUUCUAGUCGUUGCUUCUGUUAUUACCAUUAAAGUACUUAUUUUUACCUAACCUGUAAUUUUGUUUCUCUGUUGAACUUUUAUAAUUUAGUGAAACCUUUGCUAAUUAAAAAAAACGAGUUUUCUGAAGCCUUUGUUUCCGCAAUGAAAUUUCACAAAACUAAAUAUUAAAAAAUUACUCUUGAAACUAAUACUUUUUCGUUUCCAAAUUUAAGUUUACUUCCAAAUAUCGAGUUUCCAUUAUCUCAACAAAAUUCAAUCAUGUUCCAAAAGUCAGAAACUAUAGCGCGCAAUCAGUCUUUUAUGACAGAUUUUUCCAAAAUCGAUUCCUUGGCAGUUAGUGAGCUGACUUUCGCCAGUCAAGUUCUGAUAUUCAUUGUCUCCGAAGCUGACCAAUCAGGUUCAUUGACCAAUCACAUUUGCGGAGCUCUUCACGCCGAUUUGUCAACGACUAAAACAUGUGUUCGGAAUUUCAGAAGAAAGUUCGAAUCUUACGCAAUAUCGCGCCACAUAAUCAAGACCUCAAGAAACCGAAACUUUCUUGGACUAAGACGUUGUUUUUCUCUAAACGACCAGCGAAGUCUGCGAAAAUCGCUAGACUCCCGAUCCAAUGGCCCCGGUUCGAUUCCAAGCAGUAACCACAUAAACUCAGGAAUUAGCAGCACCUUGCCAAGAGCGAAGCAGAAGAAAUCACCGUCUUCAAAAGUUUCUCUUCAAAAUUGCCCUACUUUAACUAAUUCGGGGGAAGUUUGUUCGAAAAUAGAAGAAGGAUUUAGUCGGCCAAUUUUCACGAGAGCCAUGUCGUCGGAACGAGUUCAAGUUCGUAAAUCUUCCAUAAAUGGUCAUUUUCUGCAAUCGUUAUCGGAUAUUCACAAUCGAAGCUUAACCGCAACGCCGACCCAAUUGAGGAAAUCCAAUUUACGAAAUUUCAGAAUAAACAAUACAACUGGUAUUAACUCCAUUUUGCCGAAUUCAAAAAACGAGUCGAGGGCAAAACUGGCCAUUCGUGAAUCGCCGAAAGGAGACGGCGUAACACGGUCACUCUCGCUACAGCGGAAGAAGUUUGUUCCGAACAGUUUACACGUGGAGGUGUUGUCGUCUCGGAUCCGACAGACGUCGGAGUGUAGCGGGGUUACCGACGGCGACUCGGGUGUGGUGUCCGACACGAAUAGCAUCUCAGAAACCACGCAAAACGCUGCAACGUCGUUAAAUAACAAUUCGCAUAUCAAGUCGAAUCAGGGCAGUGAUGCGACUUUAACCCCAAAUGAUACAUUAAACACAGUUGACUUAGAUAACAACCACACUUCAGAACAAAAAAUAUCGGAAUUCAAACUUGACAAUUUACGAGCUAUUUUGUUCCACAAAGACGGAAUAAUUUUUGACUGUUUCGCAGAACUGCUUCGAGAUUUGCCUGACAUUGAAAUUCACCAUUUUCCCUUGAUCGAAGGCAAGAAAACUCGCAUACUAGUUAGAAGCAAUUGCAGCAUAGACUUUGAAAUAAUUCCAAAUAAAGAUCAUUUAUAAUUCAAUUUCGAAAUUAUGUAAUUAUGUGUUAAUGUUAGUUAAAUUUUCUGUCUUUUCUUCA